This 467-nucleotide ribosomal RNA is filed under the name uncultured bacterium. RNAcentral describes it as "partial 16S ribosomal RNA". It matches the Rfam family "Bacterial small subunit ribosomal RNA", at positions 28 to 507 of the family's 1533-position model. The record is from RNAcentral.
GACGAACGCUGGCGGCGUGCUUAACACAUGCAAGUCGAACGGAAGGCCCUGCUUUUUUUGGGUUCUCGAUUGGCGAACGGGUUAGUAAUACCUUAUUUACCUUCCCUUUUCUUUUGGUUUACUUCAUGUAACUUGGGCUUAUACCGCCUUGUAGCUCCUUUUUCCUUGUUGUGUUUGGUUAAUUUCGGCGGUUGGGGUUUGAUGCGAGGCUUAUCAGCUUGUUGGGGGGGUAGUGGCUUUCCAAGGCAUUGACGGGUAGGCGGCCUGAGAGGGUGACCGGCCACAAGGGGACUGAGAUACGGCCCAGACUCGUACGGGAGGCAGCAGUGGGGAAUAUUGCACAAUGGGCGGAAGCCUGAUGCAGCAACGCCGCGUGCGGGAUGACGGCCUUCGGGUUGUAAACCGCUUUCGCCUGUGACGAAGCGUGAGUGACGGUAAUGGGUAAAGAAGCACCGGCUAACUACGUG